Molecule: ribosomal RNA, 247 nt
Filed under: uncultured bacterium
Lineage: Bacteria
Description: partial 16S ribosomal RNA
Rfam family: Bacterial small subunit ribosomal RNA
Source: RNAcentral
GAGUUUGAUCGUGGCUCAGGAUGAACGCUGGCGGCGUGCCUAACACAUGCAAGUCGAGCGAAGCGGUUUCGAUGAAGUUUUCGGAUGGAUUCGGAAUUGACUGAGCGGCGGACGGGUGAGUAACGCGUGGGUAACCUGCCUCAUACAGGGGGAUAACAGUUAGAAAUGACUGCUAAUACCGCAUAAGCGCACAGGACUGCAUGGUCCAGUGUGAAAAACUCCGGUGGUAUGAGAUGGACCCGCGUCU